This 102-nucleotide ribosomal RNA is filed under the name Astragalus polycladus. RNAcentral's name for it is "partial 18S ribosomal RNA". It matches the Rfam family "Eukaryotic small subunit ribosomal RNA", at positions 1732 to 1831 of the family's 1831-position model. Lineage: Eukaryota; Viridiplantae; Streptophyta; Magnoliopsida; Fabales; Fabaceae. The record is from RNAcentral.
GCUGCCCGCGACGUUGUGAGAAGUACCCUGAACCUUAUCAUUUAGAGGAAGGGGAAGUCGUUAACAAGGUUUCCGCUAGGUGAACCUGCGGAAGGAUCAUUG